AAACGUUCAUCUCGUUUUACGAGCCGCAUUAAGAUUGAAGCCAGGGAACGGGGACUUCAG
The submitters of this non-coding RNA (60 nucleotides) gave its source as unclassified sequences. The record is from Rfam.